CUACGUGCCAGCAGCCSCGGUAAUACGUAGGGUGCGAGCGUUAAUCGGAAUUACUGGGCGUAAAGCGAGCGCAGACGGUUACUUAAGCAGGAUGUGAAAUCCCCGGGCUCAACCUGGGAACUGCGUUCUGAACUGGGUAGCUAGAGUAUGUCAGAGGGGGGUAGAAUUCCACGUGUAGCAGUGAAAUGCGUAGAGAUGUGGAGGAAUACCGAUGGCGAAGGCAGCCCCCUGGGAUAAUACUGACGUUCAUGCUCGAAAGCGUGGGUAGCAAACAGGAUUAGAUACCCUGGUAGUCCACGCCCUAAACGAUGUCGAUUAGCUGUUGGGCAGCUUGACUGCUUAGUAGCGUAGCUAACGCGUGAAAUUGACCGCCUGGGGAGUACGGUCGCAAGAUUAAAACUCAAAGGAAUUGACGGGGACCCGCACAAGCGGUGGAUGAUGUGGAUUAAUUCGAUGCAACGCGAAGAACCUUACC
RNAcentral lists this ribosomal RNA (475 nucleotides) under uncultured bacterium. RNAcentral's name for it is "bacterial SSU rRNA". It matches the Rfam family "Bacterial small subunit ribosomal RNA", at positions 501 to 975 of the family's 1533-position model. The record is from RNAcentral.